Molecule: long non-coding RNA, 1183 nt
Organism: Populus euphratica (Euphrates poplar)
Lineage: Eukaryota; Viridiplantae; Streptophyta; Magnoliopsida; Malpighiales; Salicaceae
Exons: 3
Source: RefSeq, a predicted model, not a curated record
CUCGUAUUCCUCUCUAAAUUUCUACCCCAGAGAAUGUUUUGAAUUGUUGGGUCUGAUUUUCUGACCACAUGAAGGAUUCGAGUGAGAGGUGCUAAGAAACCAUAAAACAGUCAUGGUCUGAAAUUGAUGAAGUUGCUGCAAAAGCAAAUGGUCUAGCUAUCCUUCAAAACAAGCUCAAUACUUGCAUAACACUGGAUGCUGCUGAAGAGUUGAAAAACUUUUUGGACAGUUUCUUUUCAGUAGCAGCUCAAUAUGAUAGACCUCCAAGAUACCCAGUUGACCCUGUUUGCAAAGGUAUUGAUUCAGCUACAGAAGGAAGUGAUGUACUCGACAAGAUAUUUUCUGGAAUCGUUGCUUACUUCUGAGAAAAGCUUUGCUAUAAUCUAGACGCAUUCUUUUCAGCAGAAACACUGGAUGGCCGGACUUGUUGGACAUGUAGCGAACUUGUGAUGCCGAUUGGUCGUGGUAAAAAUGAUACCAUGUUUCUAGGCUUCUAGCAGACCAUUUGAUCUGAAGGAGUACAUUGAAGAAUGCAAAAGCAAAUAUGGAGUCCCCCUCUAGGCCUCUUUGGAUAACAACUUGCUAUGGCGGUCAUGUGUUGUUCAAACCGUGUGUGAAAUUUCAGUUGAUUUUAUGCAUUUUCAUAGUAGCGAUUUAAAGGCUGAUAUGAGCUCCAUUCUGUUUUUUUAUUGUUUUUUUUUUUUCUGCAAUGUGAAAUUGCAGCAUUUUAAAGAGGUGCUCGGGAGGUUGGCCAGCAACAUUAUCUUCUCCAAUGGCCUCCGCGAUCCUUGCAGCGGGGGGGUCAUCUACAUUCAGAGUUGUUUUUGUUUCUGAAUCUUUCAAGCCUUUACUCUGGCAUAUAUGACGUCACAAGUUAAAUGUUUUGUAGGCUGGAACAUAUCAGAUAGCAUUCUGGCAGUAUAUACAACCAAGGUAAUUCAUGUUCAUGCAACGAGCACCUUCACAUUGCAUAGAAAUUGAGACCAUUAGCGGAUGGAUCCUGAAGUACUAUCAAGACGUGCUUGAAAAUUCUUCAUUAAUAAUAUUUAUUCGUUGUCUGAAAACAUCGCCCCCACUCGCCCCCCUCCUUCGAACCUCUUUCUUUCUGCCGCAUGAAUGUUAGCCCUUUUCAUUCAGAAAUAGAGAUGGGUUUUGAUUAUUUGAAGGAACCGCUCGUGAAAAU